AGAAGGUUGAUGUAAGAGUACCAAGGUAUCAAGAGCAUGAGAUCACUCAUGUCAGUGUUGAGUACCUGCAAGAGUUCCUUUAUUUCCCUUUUGCUCUCUCUCUCUCUACAGAAGGCACCGGCCUAUAUAUCACUCCUCCCUGCUUGCUCUCUCACCUCCUCCAGCUGAAAGGGAAAGAGAAGAGAUAGGGGGAGAGAGAGAGAGAGAGGGAGAGGGAGGGAGACCAGCUAGCAGGCCAAUUAGUAAAGUCUUUUAGAGAGAGAAAGAGGGAUGAAAAAGGGCAGUGGAGGAGGGAUACCCACCUCCCACUUCCAAUAUUAUCCUCUCACAACCCCCACACAACUUUUCCCCCACUUCCCCUUUUUUAUUUUUUUUCUCUCUAGAUUUCUAGCUAGCUACAAGAUUUUUCUCCCUCUCUCCCUUACUUUCUCUCUCAUCUGCCAAUGAAAGCAAUUUAGGUGUGCACACCCAUCUGUACAGUUUUGGCCUUGGCUGACAAGUUUGAGCACACAACACAAUCAGAAAUAAUGGACUGGUGUGUACAAGUAGGAGUAAUUAAUUGUGCACUCAAAUAUUAACCGCGGAUUAAUUUUGCGUACUGUUACAAACUCAAUCAACACUAAUAUUUGAUUGCAAAUAGAUACAGUUUUAUUAGAAAUUAACUACGGUGGCCUCAUCCUCAGUUUUUCGACAGAAGAUUGUACAAAAAGAAAGAAAUUUUUAUUUUCCGCAAGCACAAGGUUGUAUCUAUAUUAUACAUAGGAGAUAUUUUGACGAAUAAACAAGUAGUAGUGCCAUACAAGAAAUCAUUUCAAAGAAACCAUUAUUGAACCAACUGAAUUGAGGAGUGUUUUCCAUAGGAAAGGUACCACACAAUGUUUUGAACUUUGAAAGUCCAUGUGAUUUGACACACUUUUUUCUCCUCAUCAUUAGUUGCAGAGUUGUGCAGAGAGAGAGAGAGCCGCCAUAGUACUACUCUGAGAGAGAGAGAGAGAGAGAGAGAGAGGGGGGGGGGGGUUUGAUAGGGAUUUAUAUGUCAGGGUGUGUGUACUAUUGGCACAAGGUGUGUACGUAGGCCAUAGGGCACAUGAAUUGAGAUAGAUAUGGUGAGAGAUGGAUGACAGACGGUCUGCCAAUGUACACUGACCUCCUGCAUGCCCUGACUGGCACAGCUGCUUGUGUGUGUGUCAGAAGAACUAGGAAAUGUCCACGUCUAGGCCUUUGCUAUCUCACUUUUUUUCCUUUGCCUUUUGGAACCUGUCUAGGUCACAAUUUUAAUACACUACUUGUACUAUACAUAUACUUGUAUGUGUGUGUGUGUGAGAGAGAGAGCUAUGCUUGUGUUCCUUUUGCUUUUUCCCUUUUUGCCCUCUCACUCUCCAAAGCCCAAUCUUCUGGGCAUGUAUUGACUGUCUUUGAUGCGUGGCCUUUUGUUUGUUAGGGUAUUUGUUUAUGCACUAGUCUAUUUCACAUCUUAAUCUUCCUGCUAAGUGAAGCUAGCAUCAUGCAUGAUAGUCUUGUCUCUGCACUAGUGGUUAAGAUAUUAGUUUGGGUUUUUUCUCUUAUGUCAGGUGAUGGAAGGCUUCAGAGGUAAAGCGAUUGAAAGCUCAGGAAUCCAAAACCAGUUGCCUACAUCCAGGAAUUGAUUGUUAUUCCAGGAAGCUGGUAUAUUCAUUUUCAGCUAGCACAUCAACAAACUUUGCAAUGCAAAAUGACAUUUUAUUUGACAUUAUAUUAUUUCUCAGCUGUUCACUUGAUUACAAUCAAUAGUUCUAGAUAUCUAUUUGUAUGAGUGAUAAUGGGAAAUAUGUUUUGACAAA
RNAcentral lists this long non-coding RNA (1820 nucleotides) under Setaria viridis. Its description in RNAcentral is "long non-coding RNA (SVIR_LNC008646)". The record is from RNAcentral. Lineage: Eukaryota; Viridiplantae; Streptophyta; Magnoliopsida; Poales; Poaceae.